Molecule: non-coding RNA, 2763 nt
Organism: Lactuca sativa (garden lettuce)
Lineage: Eukaryota; Viridiplantae; Streptophyta; Magnoliopsida; Asterales; Asteraceae
Source: RefSeq, a predicted model, not a curated record
UUUUUUCAUUAUUUGACAAAUGUAACUACUCUUUUUUCUUUUUUCAUUGUUUGAUAGUCUCUUAGAAAAAUAAAAAGGUGCAACACCACAUCACCUUCUUAGUCAGGGAGUUUUUUACUGGUAACUCUCUCUCUAAGAUGCAUAUCCAUAGAGGAAUUAUGGUGGUUUGGCUAUCAAGUAAUUUAUUAAAUGUGAGUAUGCAUCUAUGUAGUUAGCUUUCUAAAAACUCUAAACGAAAUUAGUAUUAAUAGGAGAAGAUUGUCAAAUUAGAGACAUGAGUGGUUGAUGCGUUUUACACAUGGGGUUAAUGUGGAUUAUGUUUUGAAGGACACUCACGAAGGUUAGGAAUUGAUAGUAGUUUGUUCAAUCAUCAUCUAGAUUUCAAUUCUAUGUAAACCCUCUUGUUUUGCUCUACAUUUCAUCACCAUAGUUACUGAAUUUGUUGCUGUGGUAGUGGUAGAACAAGGGUACAAUUUCUCCUUGUUAUAUUGUGUCUUAUAAGUUCAAAUGUAUAACAUUGCAGCAGCAGGAUCCCUUAUUAGUCUAUACUUUAUCAACAGACCAGAGUGGCUAGUUGUUGAUCAUGCAUGCAUUUCAUACAUCCUUGUCCUUUUAUAUGACACCCUUGCUUCGGAUGCGGUGAAGUGCAAUGGGACACGGAAGUAAGGGGGAUGUAGCAGUGUCCCAUGAAAACCUGAUUGCAAGUGUUGCUGUUGGAAGUCUUGAAAUUAACUUCUAUCCAUUGGAUGUUGUUAUAAAUGCAGUGAAGUCAUCUGGUGGUAUGAGAGAAAAGACUGUUUAACAAUGUGAAGAGGCAAGAACUACUUAAGGGUAACAGUUUACAAAACUUUCUUCAGCACUUUUAGCUUUCGAUACUUUAAAGAAUAUAUUCUGUGUGAUAUUAUUGAAUCUUUCAGGCUAGAAUUCAUAUCCUAUGCUAUGUGGGACAAAUUGUUAGUAUUGCUACUUAAAAAAUACCCAAAGUCAAAAUUAUGGUCAAAAUGAAAGGAGGAGAAACAAUUGGCCCAGCUGCCUCUCAAAAUGCCCCCUGUAGUUCCCAAAAAAUUCUGCCUUUUUCCUUUAUAUAUUUCCAUCCAGUAUGUGCUGCACUGAUAAAGUGCUACCUGGAUAAUGAUGUCUUAAAGUUUCAUAACCCUUCUUUUCUUUUUUACGUUAAAAGUUCACUUAAAUUAAAAGUGGUCAAACUUCUUGGAUUAUGAAGGCCUAGUCAUGGAUCCUAAUGCUUUAAAAAAGAGAAUAUUUUUUGGGGAGGUGGAAUACAGCUUGCGAAAAGAGGUUUGGGAAUUUUUAUUGGGAUCUUAUUUAUACGAUUCGACAUAUGCAGAGAGGUGGUAUAUUGUCUCGGUUAAAACAUCAGAGUACAUGACUUUCAAAAAAAUCAAUGGCAGUAAGGAGAUUGGGAAGAUGAAGAUAAGGGGAAAAAAUCAUUUUACUUGAAAGUAAUCAUUCAUUUUUUUAACAAGGUCAGUGAUCUCCUCUCUCUAAUAAUGGAAAGAUCAAGUCCAAAGUUAAACUGUGAUCAAAACGGCAUGCACUCUCAACUCUUUGCAUUAUCAAAGAUCUGACUCACCUCUAUAAAGUUGAAUGAUGUAAACUCUUCCAAUUCCUAGACGAUCUGACCUCUACAAAGUUGAAUGAUGUUGCAUUGGAUGCUGAUGUCCUUGUUAUGUUGACUAAAGCCGUCUCUAAUAAGAAAGAGUCGAUAUGGAUCUAUAAAUCCAGAAUUGACUUUAUGUUAUAAACUAUUUCUAUGGUUUUUCUGAGUAAUAUAUAUUUUUUUUCAUCUUUCGUUGUUUUUCUUGGAAAGAAUUUAAAAAUCAGUGGUGUUUUUAUAUGAGGAUUAAGAAAAAUGAGCCAUCUGUUAGGAGGUCACUCUUGAGAUUCAACCAUAUUUCACAUCUGUUGUUCUAACUCUCUAGCGUACUGGUGCGACGGGUAAGUUAUAAUCAUAAAUGAUUAUAUAGCGUUGUCCGUUCCUUUCUCCUCCGCCACCACCCGACCCCGCUACUGCUACAUCCGCCACUUAUACCACCGCCACCACCUCUUCCGUCACCAACUGUCCUAAUCAUAUAUGAUUGCUCAAUCUAUGAACAAACCUAUAUGUAUACCUCUCUCAUAUAAACAUUUACGUGUUGUCUUUUCCGCUAAUUACCUAAACAUUACCAACAUUUUCUUCAUUUUCCGAGCGUUAGAUUACAAAAAUAAUAAUAAUAAUUAGGAAAUGGAAAACAUUUAAGUCAAAAGCAUUUGAAAUACCAUGUUUUUUAAUGAGGCUUAGCAGCCAAAGUGGAAAGUCGAUUGCCCCUGCCCCCAAAAGCUUUGGUCAGGGUUCAAUCCCCGGCCAAAGCAUGUUUUUGAUACACAGUAUGGCUAAGUAAAGAGAUACUUUCAGGGAGAGCAUUCAAAUCUGGAAAGUUUUGUGGUAUGUUACUAUUAUGGAUUAAAUCGAUAACAUGUUAUUUAAUAAACUAUAAUGCAUUGCUGUUAUGGUUUAAAAGUUCCGCAACAUGUUGUUAUUAUGGAUUAAAUUGAUAACAUGUUCUUAUAAUAAGCUAAAGUAAAUUGAUAUUAUGGUUUAAAAGUUAAAGUAGUAUGUUGUUAUGAUGAGUUAAAUUGAUAAUAAAUGAAAGUACAUAUGUUUUAAAAGUUAAGUAGUAUGUUGGUAUUAUGAACUGAAUUUAUAAUAAACUAAAGUAUAUUGUCAUUAUGGUUUAAAAGUUAAGUAUAUUUACCAAUUAUAUA